AACGAACGCUGGCGGCGCGUCUUAAGCAUGCAAGUCGAACGGCAAGAGAGGAGCUUGCUUCUCUCCUAGAGUGGCGGACUGGUGAGGAACACGUGGGUAAUCUACCCUUAAGAUGGGGAUAGCUGCUAGAAAUAGCAGGUAAUACCGAAUACACUCGGCAUAUCACAAGAGGUGUUGAGGAAAGGAAGCUACGGCUUCGCUUGAGGAUGAGCUUGCGUCCCAUUAGCUAGUUGGUGAGGUAAAGGCCCACCAAGGCGACGAUGGGUAUCCGGCCUGAGAGGGUGAACGGUCACAUUGGGACUGAGAUACGGCCCAAACUCCUACGGGAGGCAGCAGCUAAGAAUAUUCCGCAAUGGACGGAAGUCUGACGGAGCGACGCCGCGUGGAUGAAGAAGGCUGAAAAGUUGUAAAAUCCUUUUGUUGAUGAAGAAUAAGGGUGAGAGGGAAUGCUCAUCUGAUGACGGUAAUCGACGAAUAAGCCCCGGCUAAUUACGUG
This 496-nucleotide ribosomal RNA is filed under the name uncultured bacterium. RNAcentral describes it as "partial 16S ribosomal RNA". It matches the Rfam family "Bacterial small subunit ribosomal RNA", at positions 29 to 507 of the family's 1533-position model. The record is from RNAcentral.